Molecule: non-coding RNA, 113 nt
Organism: Acanthosepion pharaonis
Lineage: Eukaryota; Metazoa; Mollusca; Cephalopoda; Sepiida; Sepiidae
Source: the annotation of a GenBank genome assembly
UUACGGCCAUACCACAUUGAAAUGCCGGUUCUUGUACGAUCACGAAGUUAAGCAACGUCGUGCCUGGUCAGUACCUAGAUGGAUAACCGCUCUGGAAUACCACGUGCUGUAAG